AACGAGCACGACUGGAAAUCGUGUUGUCGUCAAAAGCGGCACGAGGGUUCGAAUCCCUCCCACUGCGCCA
Molecule: transfer RNA, 70 nt
Filed under: Oscillibacter sp.
Lineage: Bacteria; Bacillati; Bacillota; Clostridia; Eubacteriales; Oscillospiraceae
Description: tRNA-OTHER
Rfam family: tRNA
About the family: Transfer RNA (tRNA) molecules are approximately 80 nucleotides in length. Their secondary structure includes four short double-helical elements and three loops (D, anti-codon, and T loops). Further hydrogen bonds mediate the characteristic L-shaped molecular structure. tRNAs have two regions of fundamental functional importance: the anti-codon, which is responsible for specific mRNA codon recognition, and the 3' end, to which the tRNAs corresponding amino acid is attached (by aminoacyl-tRNA synthetases). tRNAs cope with the degeneracy of the genetic code in two manners: having more than one tRNA (with a specific anti-codon) for a particular amino acid; and 'wobble' base-pairing, i.e. permitting non-standard base-pairing at the 3rd anti-codon position.
Source: RNAcentral